CCUACGGGAGGCAGCAGUAGGGAAUAUUGCUCAAUGGGGGAAACCCUGAAGCAGCAACGCCGCGUGGAGGAUGAAGGUUUUCGGAUUGUAAACUCCUUUUGUUAGAGAAGAUAAUGACGGUAUCUAACGAAUAAGCACCGGCUAACUCCGUGCCAGCAGCCGCGGUAAUACGGAGGGUGCAAGCGUUACCCGGAAUCACUGGGCGUAAAGAGCGCGUAGGCGGGAUAGCAAGUCAGAUGUGAAAUCCUAGGGCUUAACCAUAGAACUGCAUUUGAAACUGUUAUUCUAGAGUAUGGGAGAGGUAGGUGGAAUUCUUGGUGUAGGGGUGAAAUCCGUAGAGAUCAAGAGGAAUACUGAUUGCGAAGGCGACCUGCUAGAACAUAACUGACGCUGAGGCGCGAAAGCGUGGGGAGCAAACAGGAUUAGAUACCCCAGUAGUC
RNAcentral lists this ribosomal RNA (440 nucleotides) under uncultured bacterium. RNAcentral's name for it is "partial 16S ribosomal RNA". It matches the Rfam family "Bacterial small subunit ribosomal RNA", at positions 338 to 795 of the family's 1533-position model. The record is from RNAcentral.